This 32-nucleotide ribosomal RNA is filed under the name Frullania parhamii. RNAcentral describes it as "partial 18S ribosomal RNA". The record is from RNAcentral. Lineage: Eukaryota; Viridiplantae; Streptophyta; Jungermanniopsida; Porellales; Frullaniaceae.
GGUUCCGUAGGUGAMCUGCGGAAGGAUCAUUG